This 300-nucleotide ribosomal RNA is filed under the name uncultured Alteromonadaceae bacterium. Its description in RNAcentral is "bacterial SSU rRNA". It matches the Rfam family "Bacterial small subunit ribosomal RNA", at positions 115 to 418 of the family's 1533-position model. Lineage: Bacteria; Pseudomonadati; Pseudomonadota; Gammaproteobacteria; Alteromonadales; Alteromonadaceae. The record is from RNAcentral.
GCGUGGGAAUCUACCUGGUAGUGGGGGACAACAUCUCGAAAGGGGUGCUAAUACCGCAUACGACCUAAGGGUGAAAGUGGGGGAUCUUCGGACCUCACGCUAUCAGAGGAGCCCGCGUAAGAUUAGCUAGUUGGUGGGGUAAAGGCCUACCAAGGCGACGAUCUUUAGCUGGUCUGAGAGGAUGAUCAGCCACACUGGAACUGAGACACGGUCCAGACUCCUACGGGAGGCAGCAGUGGGGAAUAUUGGACAAUGGGGGCAACCCUGAUCCAGCCAUGCCGCGUGUGUGAAGAAGGCUUU